UUCUAAAUUAUAUAUACGGGGUCUCGAAAAAGGUCAUUGGGUUUUCUCUAUCUUAGCUCUACUGUAGACAUAUGAAAGUUUUCUUCUUAACAAGGGCAUAAGACCACUCCAUAUAAAUGCAAGUUAGUCUCACUAAGAAACUAAAAAAAAGAAAGUAGGACAACAACCACAUACCUUGUCCGUCGACAGACUCCAGUUUGAACUUUUGGAAAGAAUCACAUAUCUUGUCAGCUUAUCGGGGAUUCCAGAUUUGAACUUUUGGAAAGUACACAAGCAUAAAUAGACAAAGAAAAUAGAGGUCAAAAUAUUGGACAACCCUGGAAUCAAAGAUUAAAAAUCAGAUUUUGUAUAAAUUAUCAAAUAUGAAAUAUAAGAGAAAAACAUGAAGCAAAAUAUCAAAAAAGAAGAAUUGAAGAACGAAGAAGAGUCUAACUUCUAAGGGAAAAAGUGGUAGCAACUAGCAGCAAAAGUCAAUCAAUAGAGACAGAGUCACACGGUCACAUAGCAUAUCAACAGAAACCUAGUUUUUUUUUUAUUUGGGAAUUUUGAUUUCGUCCUUGUUUGGAGUUGGAAG
RNAcentral lists this long non-coding RNA (574 nucleotides) under Nicotiana tabacum (common tobacco). RNAcentral's name for it is "long non-coding RNA (NTAB_LNC015731)". Lineage: Eukaryota; Viridiplantae; Streptophyta; Magnoliopsida; Solanales; Solanaceae. The record is from RNAcentral.